This 253-nucleotide ribosomal RNA is filed under the name uncultured bacterium. Its description in RNAcentral is "partial 16S ribosomal RNA". It matches the Rfam family "Bacterial small subunit ribosomal RNA", at positions 524 to 776 of the family's 1533-position model. The record is from RNAcentral.
UACGUAAGUGGCAAGCGUUGUCCGGAUUUAUUGGGUUUAAAGGGUGCGUAGGCGGUCUAUUAAGUCAGUGGUGAAAUACUCCAGCUUAACUGGAGGGGUGCCAUUGAUACUGAUGGACUUGAGUCAAGUCGAGGUAGGCGGAACUGACGGUGUAGCGGUGAAAUGCUUAGAUAUCGUCAAGAACACCAAUAGUGAAGACAGCUUACUGGGCUUAAACUGACGCUGAGGCACGAAAGUGUGGGGAUCAAACAGG